Zophobas morio is the source of this 501-nucleotide long non-coding RNA. RefSeq lists it as uncharacterized. Lineage: Eukaryota; Metazoa; Arthropoda; Insecta; Coleoptera; Tenebrionidae. The record is from RefSeq and is a predicted model, not a curated record. The transcript is spliced from 2 exons.
GACUUUUAGACUGAGAUUUGAUAUGUUUUUUAAGAAGCAUCGGUGGAUCAUGUUCUUAUAAAUCUUAAUAUACUGCCGAUACUUUUUUCCUAAAAACUCGUUAAUGAUAAUGACAUUUUCCUGUUUACUUUUUAAAUUUUAAGCGGCACACCCAUUUAAAUCGGUGCGUAUAAAAGAUGCAGAAAACGAGGUGCAAUCGUGGACAUUUGCCAUUGCGAAAUAAUUUCUACACUAACAAUGUUCAAGCUGUACCUUUUUCUGGCUUUAGUAGCUUUAGCUGUUGCUGCUCCUAAAGCUGCUCCGCAGAUAUUUGGUUAUGGCCUAUACGGAGGAUACAACGGAUUAGGAUAUUCCUCUUUGGGAUAUGCUUCUCCUUAUGCAUAUGGAUAUGGAUAUCCUUCUGGAUAUGGAUAUAUAUAAUUUUUUUCUGUUUCGUCAAACACUGUAAGAAGUAUGAUCUUAAAAAACUUUGUAAAAUACAAGUCUACUUAGAAACCACAA